Pelobates cultripes (western spadefoot toad) is the source of this 298-nucleotide non-coding RNA. NCBI's taxonomy places the organism in Eukaryota, Metazoa, Chordata, Amphibia, Anura, Pelobatidae. The record is from the annotation of a GenBank genome assembly.
AUAUGGGCGUGACAAUGACAUUGUUUUUCACAAGUUAUAAACAGCUGUUUUUAGUUAUAAUUCGAUGUUACAUAAUGUAUGCAUAUUGGAUAAAACCCAGAUGAUUACAAAUACAGAAAUCUUGGACAAUUAACAAGGUCAUUCCAGAAUCCUUAUCAUGUCAUGUCAUGUCAUGUCGUGUCAUGCCAUGUCAUGUCAUGUCAUGCAAAUAUCUUUUUUCCAGGAACAUAACAAAAUCAUGUUUCAAUAACAUUUCUGAGAAUUGGAGAUACAAUUCCAAAUUUAUUCUUGAUUCAAA